ACGGAAGGCAGCAGUGAGGAAUAUUGGUCAAUGGGCGGAAGCCUGAACCAGCCAAGUCGCGUGAAGGAUGAAGGUAUUAUGUAUUGUAAACUUCUUUAGCAGCAGAGUAAUAAGGGGGUCGUGACCCCCGAUACAAGUAUGCUGAAAAUAAGGAUCGGCUAACUCCGUGCCAGCAGCCGCGGUAAUACGGAGGAUCCGAGCGUUAUCCGGAUUUAUUGGGUUUAAAGGGUGCGCAGGCGGUUUUUUAAGUCAGUGGUUAAAUCGUGAGGCUCAACCUCAUCACGCCAUUGAUACUGGAAGACUUGAUUGCGGUUGAGGUUGGCGGAAUUCGUCGUGUAGCGGUGAAAUGCAUAGAUAUGACGAAGAACACCGAUUGCGUAGGCAGCUGACCAAGCCGUAAAUGACGCUCAUGCACGAAAGUGCGGGGAUCGAACAGGAUUAGAUACCCUGGUA
RNAcentral lists this ribosomal RNA (453 nucleotides) under uncultured Porphyromonadaceae bacterium. Its description in RNAcentral is "partial 16S ribosomal RNA". It matches the Rfam family "Bacterial small subunit ribosomal RNA", at positions 341 to 792 of the family's 1533-position model. Lineage: Bacteria; Pseudomonadati; Bacteroidota; Bacteroidia; Bacteroidales; Porphyromonadaceae. The record is from RNAcentral.